CCGCCGUGUAACAGACGGUUGUGAACCUCGUCAGGCCUGGAAGGGAGCAGCGAUAAGCAAUUUGGUCUGUGUCGCGGAUCGAU
Molecule: signal recognition particle RNA, 83 nt
Filed under: Deltaproteobacteria bacterium
Lineage: Bacteria; Pseudomonadati; Myxococcota; Myxococcia
Description: signal recognition particle sRNA small type
Rfam family: Bacterial small signal recognition particle RNA
About the family: The signal recognition particle (SRP) is a universally conserved ribonucleoprotein involved in the co-translational targeting of proteins to membranes. Archaeal SRP consists of a 7S RNA and homologues of the eukaryotic SRP19 and SRP54 proteins. In most bacteria, the SRP consists of a 4.5S RNA and the Ffh protein (a homologue of the eukaryotic SRP54 protein).
Source: RNAcentral